RNAcentral lists this ribosomal RNA (479 nucleotides) under uncultured bacterium. RNAcentral describes it as "bacterial SSU rRNA". It matches the Rfam family "Bacterial small subunit ribosomal RNA", at positions 330 to 801 of the family's 1533-position model. The record is from RNAcentral.
ACCGUACUCCUACGGGAGGCAGCAGUGGGGAAUUUUGGACAAUGGGCGAAAGCCUGAUCCGGCAAUGCCGCGUGAGUGAAGAAGGCCUUCGGGUUGUAAAGCUCUUUUGUCAGGGAAGAAACGGUGAGGGCUAAUAUCCCUCGCUAAUGACGGUACCUGAAGAAUAAGCACCGGCUAACUACGUGCCAGCAGCCGCGGUAAUACGUAGGGUGCAAGCGUUAAUCGGAAUUACUGGGCGUAAAGCGUGCGCAGGCGGUUGUGUAAGUCAGAUGUGAAAUCCCCGGGCUCAACCUGGGAAUUGCAUUUGAGACUGCACGGCUAGAGUGUGUCAGAGGGGGGUAGAAUUCCACGUGUAGCAGUGAAAUGCGUAGAUAUGUGGAGGAAUACCGAUGGCGAAGGCAGCCCCCUGGGAUAACACUGACGCUCAUGCACGAAAGCGUGGGGAGCAAACAGGAUUAGAUACCCUGGUAGUCCUUGAC